Chenopodium quinoa (quinoa) is the source of this 808-nucleotide long non-coding RNA. RefSeq lists it as uncharacterized. The record is from RefSeq and is a predicted model, not a curated record. The transcript has 2 exons. NCBI's taxonomy places the organism in Eukaryota, Viridiplantae, Streptophyta, Magnoliopsida, Caryophyllales, Amaranthaceae.
GCCACUUAUUUUGUUUUUGCUUGUGUAUUUUAUACUCAUAUUAUAUAAUAUAACACCUCUACCUAGACCUUACCAACCAAUUAACAACAUUUUUGUCGAUAUAAAAUACUCAAAUCAAAUAUUUACUUACACGUGUACUCCGAAAAAAUUAUCAUGCAUCACACGAGACGAAUUAAAGGUGGGAUAUAAAAGUCAUCCUUCAAGUACAUAAUAAUUCCCCCUUAUUUAAGUGGAAGCUUGGUGGGGUUGUCUGGUGGCGAAGGCCGAAGGUGCAGAUCAGAGAAGAGGCACAAACGCUGACCACAAAGAUCGAAACUUGAAAACAACGCAACCAUUUCUUGGUGUUCCCCAAUUCAAGAAAUGACAAGAGGAAAGCAAAAGAUCGAAGCUCAGAAAAAGAAUGCUGAGAAAAAUUCUAAGUCUAAGGGUUCCCAGAUUGAAGCUCGUGCUGUUGGCCUCAAAGUUGUCUGUCCCAUCUGCAAGGCACUGCUAGCAAAUGAAAAACAGCUUGUUGAUCACUAUGGCUCGAAGCAUCCCAAGGAAAAGCCACCAAGCAACUCAAGUUGACACAACAGCAUAAACCAGUUUUUAUGGUGUAGAAAAUCCUACAUAGUACUGGUUAUUUGUCUAAAUUGUACCCGAAUAUAUAUGGUUCGAACUAUAUACAAUUGCUUUAAUUUGUGGUUGUUGUUUCCUGUUUCAAAUAAUUCAGGAACCUAGAUUCAAACCAAUUUCCUUUGAAAAUUAUGCAACUAGACCAGUAUAUUUUGUGCAUGUUGCUCAGAAAGGCAUUGCAUAUUUGCAUUUA